GCUUUCAUGGUCUCUCUAUAUGGGCGAAAGUUGCGUGGUCAUGACGCAAUCGUUAGCCUAUUUCUACAAAAACAGCUGCUACUGGGCCAUAACGUGAGAUACAAGAUACAGUCUCAUACAGAGACACAAUUAAUGGGUCUUUUCUCAUCCAGUACAUUGUUGAUGUAUUCAACACCUUGGCACAUAAGGAACACAUUCAGGAUCUUUUCCUAAAAGUCACGGAAUGCUUUGAAAAGUAUUUCGUUGACGGCCAGAUGCCGAACAUAGACAGAGUCUCUUAACAAAGCACUUCUACUUCUUCCCGGGUCUCUAAGGGCAGGAUUCUCUGUUGUCUAACACAGAUUUGUAGCCACAUUUUAAAUUAUGUUGCAAUGUUUUUUGAAGUUAGCUACUUGGUAAAUUGAUCAAACUUUUGGAUGAAUCACUGAAAGGGCCUACCGGGCAGUGAACCAAGUGACAGAAAAAAGAGAUGCAAAUAGACACAAAUUGAGAACAAAGACCCAAUCUAGAACUACUCAAGAUCUACAAUGAUAAAGCUGCGUCAUUUUGUGUCUCUUUUAGUCUUGGUGUU
Molecule: long non-coding RNA, 571 nt
Organism: Perca fluviatilis (European perch)
Lineage: Eukaryota; Metazoa; Chordata; Actinopteri; Perciformes; Percidae
Exons: 3
Source: RefSeq, a predicted model, not a curated record